GGACAAAGGAUGAGCCCGCGUAGGAUUAGGUAGUUGGUGGGGUAAAGGCCUACCAAGCCGACGAUCCUUAGCUGGUCUGAGAGGAUGAUCAGCCACACUGGGACUGAGACACGGCCCAGACUCCUACGGGAGGCAGCAGUGGGGAAUAUUGGACAAUGGGCGCAAGCCUGAUCCAGCAAUGCCGCGUGAGUGAUGAAGGCCUUCGGGUCGUAAAGCUCUUUUACCAGGGAUGAUAAUGACAGUACCUGGAGAACAAGCUCCGGCUAACUCCGUG
RNAcentral lists this ribosomal RNA (274 nucleotides) under uncultured bacterium. RNAcentral's name for it is "partial 16S ribosomal RNA". It matches the Rfam family "Bacterial small subunit ribosomal RNA", at positions 216 to 507 of the family's 1533-position model. The record is from RNAcentral.